UGAGGAAUAUUGGUCAAUGGACGAGAGUCUGAACCAGCCAAGUAGCGUGCAGGAUGACGGCCCUAUGGGUUGUAAACUGCUUUUGUUUGGGAAUAAUCGACAUUACGUGUAAUGUUUUGCAUGUACCAUUCGAAUAAGGACCGGCUAAUUACGUGCCAGCAGCCGCGGUAAUACGUAAGGUCCGAGCGUUGUCCGGAAUCAUUGGGCGUAAAGGGUACGUAGGCGGAUAAGCAAGUUAGAAGUGAAAUCCUAUAGCUCAACUAUAGUAAGCUUUUAAAACUGCUCAUCUUGAGGUAUGGAAGGGAAAGUGGAAUUCCUAGUGUAGCGGUGAAAUGCGCAGAUAUUAGGAGGAAUACCGGUGGCGAAGGCGACUUUCUGGCCAUAUACUGACGCUGAGGUACGAAAGCGUGGGUAGCAAACAGG
This 423-nucleotide ribosomal RNA is filed under the name Verrucomicrobiota bacterium. RNAcentral's name for it is "Verrucomicrobia bacterium partial 16S ribosomal RNA". It matches the Rfam family "Bacterial small subunit ribosomal RNA", at positions 355 to 776 of the family's 1533-position model. Lineage: Bacteria; Pseudomonadati; Verrucomicrobiota. The record is from RNAcentral.